GGGGCAAGGGAUGUAACUCUGAAAAGGUCCUGGGUUCAAUUUCCAGGACCGUAAAACAAAGCACCUGUCAGUUCUAUAUACAGCAUUUGGAACAUAUUGCCUACUAAGAAAGAAUCAAGAAUCAAUGAACCUGGGGAUUCUGACCUGGGGAUGGGGUGGAAGGGAGGUGAGAUAAAGGCAUCAGGGUGAGCUGUAGAUCACUUUACUCUGGGGAUCUGCACCGCAAGGGAAAGCAGAGCUCCAAGCCAAGAGACGCGGCCUGUCCUGGCUCCGGGCGAGGGUGAGGGCGAGUGGCAGAGUCAAUCGCGUUCCACAACCCACCACCGAGGAGGCUCAGCUCUGGACGGCGGCCAGCCCGGGUCUCAGGUCUAAGCCGCCGUCUCCUCUCCAAUCCAAACAGAACCGCCUGGGUGACAUCCAGAGCUCCGCAGACUUCCGGGGCGACCGAGGGAGGGGGUGGCCCUGUCCCGCCCACACAAGGGUGGUGGCUGGGGCUCUCCGGCAGAGCAGGGAGAGGGAGCGAGGCCCUGGGAGGCAGUCCCGGCCCAGAAGACCCAAAGGCAGGCGGCCUCACCCCGCACCUGGAGCUUCACCGUAGUGACUUGCCCCUCCCCCUCCCCCUGGGGCUCCCCUCCCUCAGGGGCCCCCUUCCGGCCUCCCCGAAACAAAACCCUGGUUCUAUGGCCUAGCCACAACUCAACACCUUCCUCCAGGGAGCCCCUGGCCCUGCCUUCACCACCCCCACCAGGGGGCAGGGCCUGGCAUCAUCCCUUUCAUCAAGGGAUGGCAGAGGGCCAGCUCGAAAACUGGGGAGACUCGAUGCUUUCUGGGAUGACGCGUAGAAGAAGCACAGAGCUCCAACUCCAGAGCCGAGGGAAAAGGUUUGGAUUGUACACCCUCCUCUUAGCAGGAACUUGGAUAAAGUAUCUUAUCUCUCUGAACCUUGUUUUCUUUCUUUCUCUUUCUGAAGGGGAAGACAGGAAGGACACCUUCCUCGCAGGGCCAACAUGAGGCAGAAAUGAAGCCAUGCAGUCCUAGCACCUGGCUUGGGGGCCGAUACGUAGUAAAAAUGAACAGUAAAGGUGAGUUAUGUGUCUGUGUUACUUUUAUACACAGGAAGAGGAAAUAUCCUUAAAAAUUUUUUUGAACAACUUUGCUUAAAAUUCACCAUUUGUGGGGCCACAGGUUUAGCUCAGUGGUGCUGUGCCUGCCUCACAAGCACAAGGUCCUGAGUUUGAAUUCCAGUACUGCCACAAAAAAUUGCAUUAAAGGGCACUUAGAAAACAAGAAAGUCUCCAGAAAAGUCAGCGUCACUGAAAGAGGCUGAAAUCACAAUGGCCCAUAAAGCAAGUCAGGUUUUAGAUGUGACAACAUUCAAAUGAAAAAUGUUACAAGGGAAGGGUGGCAAACAAGGAGCCAGGACCAUGAGAAAUACAAAGCCGAUGAGAGAAUGCAGAUUUUUUUUUCUUUUGGUCCUGGGGAAUUGAACUCAGGGCCUUAGGAACAUGUAAAUUCUUGACCUACAACUGAGCCGAGCCACACCCCCAGGCUUAGAUGUUUUUUGAAGAAAACAAACGCCACAAAACUGGCUAGGUCAGACCACAGGAUAACUGAUCAAACUACAAAGCAACAAGCAUAAGAAAAGUAAACAAACCAGAAAAUAGGAGGGAAAACCUGUGGUUGCAUAAGCAGGGAUGUUUGGCCUGGGUAGGGUAUCAGAAGGGCCCCGGGCUUUCACAGGGUGACUGGGGAGAGUGGGAAACGGCCUGGGGCAGAAAUUGGCCCCAAGUUACACAAAGGUCUUUGAGGAUCCAGGCCAAGGGCCAUCCCCAGGAAGCUCUGAAAGGCAGAUGUUUACAGUCACAGGUGCCCAAGAGAAGGACCACGUGCCUGCCAGUGAUUGGGGCAGAGCUGGGAUCCUGGGUCUCCUCACGUGCACUUGAGGCGGUUCUGACCUUUCCA
Molecule: long non-coding RNA, 1962 nt
Organism: Fukomys damarensis (Damara mole-rat)
Lineage: Eukaryota; Metazoa; Chordata; Mammalia; Rodentia; Bathyergidae
Source: Ensembl